This 207-nucleotide ribosomal RNA is filed under the name uncultured bacterium. RNAcentral describes it as "partial 16S ribosomal RNA". It matches the Rfam family "Bacterial small subunit ribosomal RNA", at positions 568 to 774 of the family's 1533-position model. The record is from RNAcentral.
AGCGCAGGUGGUUUAUUAAGUCUGGUGUAAAAGGCAGUGGCUCAACCAUUGUAUGCAUUGGAAACUGGUAGACUUGAGUGCAGGAGAGGAGAGUGGAAUUCCAUGUGUAGCGGUGAAAUGCGUAGAUAUAUGGAGGAACACCGGUGGCGAAAGCGGCUCUCUGGCCUGUAACUGACACUGAGGACUCGAAAGGCUGGGAAGCAAACA